Molecule: ribosomal RNA, 520 nt
Filed under: uncultured Glomus
Lineage: Eukaryota; Fungi; Glomeromycota; Glomeromycetes; Glomerales; Glomeraceae
Description: SSU rRNA
Rfam family: Eukaryotic small subunit ribosomal RNA
Source: RNAcentral
AGCAGCCGCGGUAAUUCCAGCUCCAAUAGCGUAUAUUAAAGUUGUUGCAGUUAAAAGCUCGUAGUUGAAUUUCGGGAUUAGUGCGCCGGUCGUGCCUUCGGUAUGUACUGGUGUUACUGGUUCCUACCUUCUGACGAACCGUCAUGUCAUUAAUUUGGUGUGGCGGGGAAUCAGGACUGUUACUUUGAAAAAUUAGAGUGUUUAAAGCAGGCUCGCGCUUGAAUACAUUAGCAUGGAAUAAUGAAAUAGGACGUUCGAUCCUAUUUUGUUGGUUUCUAGGAUUGACGUAAUGAUUAAUAGGGAUAGUUGGGGGCAUUAGUAUUCAAUUGUCAGAGGUGAAAUUCUUGGAUUUAUUGAAGACUAACUACUGCGAAAAGCAUUUGCCAAGGAUGUUUUCAUUAAUCAAGAACGAAGUUAGGGGAUCGAAGACGAUCAGAUACCGUCGUAGUCUUAACCAUAAAACUAUGCCGACUAGGGAUCGGAUGAUGUUAAUUUUUUAAUGACUCAUUCGGCGCCUUAU